UAGGAAUUAAAAUGAUAUUUUUAAUAUACAUGUUUCUUUGCCUUUGAGAAAGAAUAAAUAAUUAAAUCGUAAUUUCUCAACCUUUGUUUUAUAUUUUUAUAUAUGAUUUUUAUGGAUAAAUGUACUCUAAAAUUUCAAGAUUGUAUCGUAUCUAAGACAUCUUUUAAGUCAAAAUGUAUCAUUUUAAAAUUUAAAUUUAUUUUAAUAAACGAUAUACCUACUUUUAUAGAUUUUAAUACUUUUAAUUUUAUGUUAAAUAAGGCUCAUUAGACACAAAAUUGUACAAUGACUUGAAGAGUUAGCAAGUAACCUUGGCUUGGCAAAGUUUCACAACCUUCUCUCUUCCCAAAAUGGUCGCAUUACAACUUCUGAACUUGAAACUAUGAUCAUAUCUGAUUGAAAUCAACAAAACCAGUUAAUUAGAUUUGGUCCUAUCAUCAACAUAAAGAAAAUGUUGACUCACAAGAAUAUGUUUCCAUUAGGUCUCAAUCGCAACCAAGAACAUGCAUGAAGCGAUCAAUUUUUCACAUAAGCAUUCAGUAGAACUACUCCAUAAAGAGACAAAGUUGGAGGAAAGCUAAAAGCAAUAAAAGAAUUGAGGGACUAAAGUUUAAAUUUAAUUAAUUAAUUUGACAAAACCAAAUCUUGUGGCAUGUCUAGUGGUAUUAAAUCAAGUUGAAUUAGAAUCCCUAAUACAUUUAUAUUUCCUUUUUGGACUAAUGGUUUUAUAAGUAUAGAAGGUUCAAAGUGGGAUGUGAAAGGCAAUGCAAAGAGGAGAGGGCACCAACAUGACUACUUGUGAGCUCAAAGCAAAACAUCCACCAAACAACUAUGGAAGAAGAGAGAGCUUUGGGGUCAUUUCAAACUCAUAAUUGUUUUUAAUUAUUUAAUAUUAUUAUUUUAAGAGAAACUUCUUUAUGCCUUUGAGGCUUUUAAAAAAGAGGGUGAAACAUCCCAUAUUGCCUUAAGAAACCAAGCUUCCUUUCAGACAUGGAAACCAAAAUCAUCAUGCUUCAGUCUCACACCAUCUUAUUUGUAACACAUUUAUAUUAAUUUAAAUCAAGAUUGCUAUCAUCAAAGUUAAAAUGAUUAAUUAUAAUUCUUUUAACAUCCCACUUUCUCUAUUGAUUUUUAUAACUAAAUUCAUCUAAAAAUUUUACAAAAUGAAGGUGCCUUUAAACUAGGGAUCAAGGACUUAACUUUUUUUAUGGAUAUAUCAACGAAAUAAACAAACAAUACGCAAUACUUCAAAGACAAAUUUAUUAUAAUUGAUUUUUCUAGUAAAUAUUUCGAUAGUUGUGUUAUUUUUGACAGAUUUUCAUAUGUAAACAAAAAUAUAGUUAUUACUGUUAAUAUUCAUAUUUAUUUGAGGUUAAUAGAUGAUGCUUUGUUAUGUUUUAUGUGUAUUAGAUCACCAUUCAAUAACAAUAAAUUUGCAAUAAUCGUUAAAGAACGCAAUUAACUACCGUAACCUAUCAUAAUUGAGCCAAGUUCAAUCUCUGAAUGCCUUUAACUUCAAUGAAAUCUUCAUGUUAUAGCUAAUGAAUGCACUUCUCUUCUAGACCAAAUCAAGAUUACUAGUAAAGUAAAACCUUUAGAUCACCUCAACAUAUUUCAUCCAAAUUCGGACCAGAUAACAUGUAUAAAAGACGACUCUUUCCAAUACCAAAAGAUGACUCUGCUACUCUAUCAAAAGCGAACACGUGUACGAAAAAAGCUAUGUAUUUUACAUAUAUAGAAAAAAUGGAGGAGGAGGGGGGUCUAACAGGACAAUAUGAUCAAUCAGAUCCAGACAUUAUGCUAGGGAACAUCUAUCAGUUGAUCUCAGAAACAGGGUCUUGUGCAUGUACCACUCAUUUUGGUUGGUGUAGUGUUCACAUCACUUCAAAAGAUAUAUAUAUAUAUAUAUAUAUAUAUAUAUAUUUGAAACUUUUUCUAUAAAAUAUUCAAUUUAAAAAAAAAAGAAUUCAGGAACUUUCCAAAUAAAUGCAAAGGCAUUUGAAUGUGUUCUCUUUUAUCCUCUAUAAGAGAAGAUUAGGAAGAAAAAAGAGGAUUUUCCUUAGGCCAAUAAUUUCCAAUCCUUUUUGUUGAAGCUGCUAUGGCUUUACUUUUCCAAAUUCCGAUGGUAAAAUUUUCAAUUUCAUAAUAUGUUAAGACAAACUUUUCAUCUUCGUGGGUUUGAUGAGAAUUUUUUAGUUGAUUGUAUUUUAAAAUUUCAUAAUAUUCGUUUGGCAUUAUAUUUAGGAAGGCUAGACAUAUGCUGUAGUCUCUAAUGUUUGAUUUCUUUUUUCAAUUUAGUUUAGAUCAGUGUUAUAGGUGACUAAUAAUUAACUUAUAAGGCAUAUACUUAGCUAGAUAGCAUAAAAGUUAUGGAAGAAUUAGGCCACUGAAAAAGGUAACAUCAAAUUUAUGUCAAAUUCUUAGAAUUUGGGAGAUGAAAGAACUAUUUUUUUAAUCUCUAAUAAUAAGAAAAAUAAAGAACAGAGGAGAGGAAAAAAAAUACUAUGAAUAAAGAGGAAAUCCACAGUGACUAAUAUUGAAAAAUUAGUGUGAAAGGACUACUUUAUGUCGGUUAACAACUUACAAGUACGAUUGAAAGAAAUCCUAAAAUAAAUAACAGUGAACUCAAACUAUACCAAAAGUUCUUAUUGGCUGCACUGAAGACUUUUUGAUUGAACUAAAAUCAAGAUUUUUUUUUUCUUCCCAAAAGUGGCAACUGUGUUGUUCUAUUUUUGUUUUUGGACAAUUUGCAAAAAUCAACUAAUAGCUCAUUAAAUAGUGGUAAAAAUUAAACUUCCUAAUAAUAAAAAUUGAGCCCUAAUAGAUACAAUUUCUACAAAAUUAUAAAACUUUUGAAAGUCUAACUUUAACACUUACAAUAUAAGUUUUGAAGGCUUAAUUUUUACAAUGGAAAGCUUAAGAGCAUAAUCACCAAAAUACCACCAUACUAAAGGUUUUUUGUUCCUUUUUAAUUGCAAGCUGCCGUUAUUUUUUUAGAAAAAUAGUUAAGAACAAUUAGUCUCAAAAUGUCAGGAAUACCGUUUAAUUUGAACUCUAAUCUAAUAAAAUUUCUACUUCAACCUUAAUUUAUUCGACAAUUCACCACUUGGAAUAAAAAACAAAGGCUACAUGAAACAUGAAAGAGAGAAUAUAUCGACGUGUGUUAGAUUUUGUUAAUUGGACAUUAGAACUUUAUCUUUUAAAAAAAAUGUACAAAUGAGAAUGAAGGAUUAUUUUGAAAGAUUUUUUUGGAUAACUAAUUACUAUAAAAAAUUGUAAUUAAUAGAAGUUUAUAAAUUUAUAAGAUCUAAAAUUUAUAAGUAGUAUGAUAACGACACUGGAAUCUGGAGUAUGACUUUUGAUUGACAAAUUAUGAGCUUUGUAUUUGACAGAAUAUAAUUCCCCACUCUUAUCCUUUUCCCUUUUAACUUAUUUUCUCUUUCUCUCUCUCUUUCAUAAUUGCUUGGCCAUGCUGACAGCUAUGCAAUUCCAUUUCAGAUUUAAUUUCACAACCACUUUAUUGUUGCUUUGUAAUGGAGAUACAGUUUUUAGAAAUUUUUUUUUUUUGUAGUUUUAUUCGAUCUUUUUUAUUUAUUGAACCAAAAAGUUCACUUAAUCAAUUCCUUUUAUUUUGCUAAUUAAGAAGGCUUAGUUUAGCUCAUUAAUCAUGUCUUAUCUCUCUCUACCAUGCUAAAGGAGAAGAGGUGGAAGGAUUAAGGAAGAAACCAAUGCUGAAUCUCACUUCAAAACUCUACCUAGAAAAAAUAGAUUGCUGAAUUUACAAGGAAUGAAAUCCCAAUUGAAGAUCGGAAAUGUAAUAGUGUAGAAAAGAAAAGAAAAAAAAAGAGGGCCUUUUUUCUUUUCCUGAUUUAAGAUUAGGAAAAUUUGCCUGAAAUGGUGGGUUAUGGUUGAUGAUGAUAAGGUGAUUAGAAAUGGUGGGUUUUGCUCAUAAAUUUCAGUUGGAGCUUUUUAUAAUUGGAGUGCAGACAUGAAGUGGCCAAAGGCCCCAAACCCAUAAAAAAGCCCACCACUUGUCUAUAAAAAUAAAGAAAAAAGAAAAGGGGAAAAAAAGAAAGAAAGAAAAAGGGCAGAGGAAGAGAACAAGUAAAAAGGAGGGAGAUUGAGGAUUGGGGAUUGGGGAGGGACAGCAAUGUCAGAUUUGUAGUUUGUUUAGUGUGUUUUUAUUAUCCCCAUGCUAGAUCGCAUAAGAAAAAAAAAGAAAAGAAAAGAAAAACAGAGAAAGAAAGAAAGGGAGAAAGAGAAACUAACCUGGUGGAUCCUCUGUGGAAAAGCUUCCAAAAACCCUGAGUGAGUGAUUCAAUCGGCUGGCUCUCCUAUUUUGAUCUGAGACCAAACGCUGCCACUUUCUUAACCGUUAUGUGCUUUUACAGCUCAGUCUGUUCCUGGAAGAUGGCAC
This 4417-nucleotide long non-coding RNA is filed under the name Cucumis sativus (cucumber). RNAcentral describes it as "long non-coding RNA (CSAT_LNC001226)". The record is from RNAcentral. Lineage: Eukaryota; Viridiplantae; Streptophyta; Magnoliopsida; Cucurbitales; Cucurbitaceae.